UCAUAUGCUUGUCUUAAAGAUUAAGCCAUGCAUGUCUAAGUAUAAGCUUUUAUACGGCUAAACUGCGAAUGGCUCAUUAAAACAGUUAUAGUUUAUUUGAUGGUCUUUACUACAUGGAUAACCGUGGUAAUUCUAUGGCUAAUACAUGCGCACAUGCCUCUUCCCCUGGAAGGGCAGUGUUUAUUAGAUACAGAACCAACCCACCUUCCGGUGGUCCUCAGGUGAUUCAUAGUAACCGAACGGAUCGCGUUGACUUCGGUCUGCGACGGAUCAUUCAAGUUUCUGACCUAUCAGCUUUCGACGGUACUGUAUUGGACUACCGUGGCAGUGACGGGUAACGGGGGAAUUAGGGUUCGAUUCCGGAGAAGGAGCCUGAGAAACGGCUACCACAUCUAAGGAAGGCAGCAGGCGCGCAAAUUACCCAAU
Molecule: ribosomal RNA, 426 nt
Organism: Toxoplasma gondii ME49
Lineage: Eukaryota; Apicomplexa; Conoidasida; Eucoccidiorida; Sarcocystidae
Source: RefSeq, a predicted model, not a curated record